Molecule: ribosomal RNA, 422 nt
Filed under: uncultured bacterium
Lineage: Bacteria
Description: bacterial SSU rRNA
Rfam family: Bacterial small subunit ribosomal RNA
Source: RNAcentral
UAAGGAAUAUUGGACAAUGGACGCAAGUCUGAUCCAGCCAUGCCGCGUGAAGGAUGAAUGCCCUCUGGGUUGUAAACUUCUUUUAUAGGGGAAGAAAGAUACUUUUUUUAAGGUAGUUGACGGUACCCUAUGAAUAAGCACCGGCUAACUCCGUGCCAGCAGCCGCGGUAAUACGGAGGGUGCAAGCGUUAUCCGGAUUUACUGGGUUUAAAGGGUGCGUAGGCGGGCAUGUAAGUCAGUGGUGAAAUGCCGGAGCUUAACUUCGGAACUGCCAUUGAUACUAUAUGUCUUGAAUAUUGUGGAGNUAAGCGGAAUAUGUCAUGUAGCGGCGAAAUGCAUAGAUAUGACAUAGAACACCGAUUGCGGAGGCAGCUUGCUACGCAAAUAUUGACGCUGAGGCACGAAAGCGUGGGGAUCAAACA